RNAcentral lists this transfer-messenger RNA (356 nucleotides) under Candidatus Saccharimonadota bacterium. It matches the Rfam family "transfer-messenger RNA". Rfam says of the family: Bacterial tmRNA, also known as 10Sa RNA or SsrA, is named for its dual tRNA and mRNA-like properties. Lineage: Bacteria; Candidatus Saccharimonadota. The record is from RNAcentral.
GGGGCUGAUCAUAGCUUAGACGGGAUAUUAACAGUUGUGAGGCGUGUCGAUUAAAUACCGUAAGUAUUGAAUAAGUGCUAAAAACACGAAGACCGCGCAUGUAGCAUACAUGCCGGCUUAUGCCUAAACUUUCAUAGGCUGGUCUGCGCUUAAGGUUCCGUAGAGCGUAGAUUAUCAUACUACGGAAAUAAGGCUAUUUCCCUGGUCAGAAAUAGCUCGAAAACCCUACCAUGGCGCUAAAUAGUUUCGUUUUCUGCAGCUAUUAGUAUAUGCCAAGAUAAAACAGAAAACUACGCACGUAGAAUCAUGACCCAGUGGUAGUCCGGACGCGGAGGCAGUAUCCGCCAGCUCCACCA